AAGCUCGGAUAUUGAUGAAGUUCGAAAGAAGUUCGGAGUAGGGUCAUCCAUGGCCGGAAGAAGUCUGGAAGGGAUUCAGAGAAUAGUUGAUCAUUGUAGAAGAUCGACCGAUAGUGAAGCCCAGAGAGCCUUUGGAGCAGCCCGGUAGAUAAAUGGAGAAGCUCAUUGUCGGAGAAGUCCGGAUGGUAUUAUGGAAGCUCGGACGGUCGAGGGGGUUCAGAAAGAUGCCACACA
RNAcentral lists this long non-coding RNA (234 nucleotides) under Elaeis guineensis (African oil palm). Its description in RNAcentral is "long non-coding RNA (EGUI_LNC055776)". Lineage: Eukaryota; Viridiplantae; Streptophyta; Magnoliopsida; Arecales; Arecaceae. The record is from RNAcentral.